CCAGCAGCUGCGGUAAUUCCAGCUCCAGUAGCGUAUAUUAAAGUUGCUGCGGUUAAAAAGCUCGUAGUUAGAUUUUUGGUUUUCUCGUCCAAUCACCUUUCGAGGUGCAUAUGGGUUUCGAGAGAACUUUCGUCUGUAUUUGCCUUGUGCUUAACUGUACUUGGCAGGGACAGGCUCUUUACUUUGAGGAAAUUAGAGUGUUUCAAGCAGGCAACUGCCUUGAAUACAUUAGCAUGGAAUAAUAAAAUAUGACUUCGGUCUAUUUUGUUGGUUUCCGGGCUGAAGUAAUGAUUAAUAGGGACAGUCGGGGGCAUUCGUACUUGACAGUCAGAGGUGAAAUUCUUGGAUUUGUCAAAGACGAACUACUGCGAAAGCAUUUGCCAAGGAUGUUUUCAUUGAUCAAGAACGAAAGU
RNAcentral lists this ribosomal RNA (413 nucleotides) under uncultured eukaryote. RNAcentral's name for it is "SSU rRNA". It matches the Rfam family "Eukaryotic small subunit ribosomal RNA", at positions 567 to 990 of the family's 1831-position model. The record is from RNAcentral.